Mya arenaria is the source of this 814-nucleotide long non-coding RNA. RefSeq lists it as uncharacterized. The transcript is spliced from 4 exons. Lineage: Eukaryota; Metazoa; Mollusca; Bivalvia; Myida; Myidae. The record is from RefSeq and is a predicted model, not a curated record.
AGAUUCCCAUUACCAUUAUUAUUCUUUUCAUACUUAAACUAGUUGCAGCUGGCAUGUUUAGAUCAAGGUCAUAAUUGCAGGGUUUCAAAGGUAUAACAUAAUAAAGAUAUUUAAAUACACUAUGAAUACCUUUGUGCAAUUCGCAUGUCAGUAAGUAGAUAGAUUUUGGAAAUCUUAUGUUCAAAUGUACAAUUUCAGGUCAAGCUCCUGCUGCACACGGAACUUCAAUCCAUUACAGUUUCGACUAUGCCCAGCAAGUGUUCUUAACCCACACUAUGCACAGCAAGUGGAGCCAAUAUUCUUCAAAACGGCCAGGAAGUGCGGCUGCUUUAGGGUGUGCUGUGAAUCCUCAGUUACGGUGUCUGACGUGUUCUGAAGGGCCUGCAUAAAACAUAGAGUUCAGUUUGAUGUAAGAAGGGCACACAAAGUUCAGUCCGGACUGGCAUUUUGGUCUGUGGAAGACCAAAUGGAGGCAGUGCACUGCUGAAACAAUGGAGGAACCUGAAAAAAUACCAUCACUUCAGGAUUUCAGCCCACAAGCCCUACAGUGUGUUUGUGAGAGAACAUGGCAAGGUCAAUGAGAUAGAGGUUCAAGUUGGCAAGCCUGCAUCUAUUGCCCUGCUCAGAUACUAUCCAGAGCAAAUCCAGCUGAAAGGACUGGAUGCCAAAAGGCGCUGGUACCUCUACGACCAGAUUGCCCCAUAUUGCUUCAACCGAAGCGUCUGCUCAAAGCCUACAGUGCCAAGACCAUAAAAUAAAAAAUAAAACAUUUUAACACUUGGUGCCAAUAAAUGUGAUGAACACAUUUAUAACA